GAUGAACGCUGGCGGCGUGCCUAAUACAUGCAAGUCGAGCGAACGGACGAGAAUCUUGCUUCUCUGAUGUUAGCGGCGGACGGGUGAGUAACACGUGGAUAACCUACCUAUAAGACUGGGAUAACUUCGAGAAACCGGAGCUAAUACCGGAUGAUAUUUUGAACCGCAUGGUUCAAAAGUGAAAGACGGUCUUGCUGGCACGUAUUGAUGGAUCCUCGCUGCAUUAGCGAGUUGGUGAGGUAACGGCUGAUCAAGGCAACGAUGCAUAGCCGACCUGAGAGGGGGGUCGGCGACCGUGGAACUUAGACACGGUACAGAGUCCUGCGGGAGGCAGCAGUAGGGAAUGGUCCGCAAUGGGCGAAAGCCUGACGGAGCAACGCCGCGUGAGUGGUGAAGGUCUUCGGAUCGUGAAACUCUGUUAUUAGGGAAGAACAUAUGUGUAAGUACCUGGGCACGUCUUGACGGUACCUAAUCAGAAAGCGACGGCUAACUACGUG
Molecule: ribosomal RNA, 497 nt
Filed under: uncultured bacterium
Lineage: Bacteria
Description: partial 16S ribosomal RNA
Rfam family: Bacterial small subunit ribosomal RNA
Source: RNAcentral